GGGAACUCGGCAAAAUGCCCCCGUAACUUCGGGAGAAGGGGGGCCGGAUGCGUUACCUCACUUGCUGGGGGAAGCGUUGAUGGCCGCAGAGACCAGGCCCAAGCGACUGUUUACUAAAAACACAGGUCCGUGCGAAGAAGUAAUUCGAUGUAUACGGACUGACGCCUGCCCGGUGCUGGAACGUUAAGGGGACAGGUUAGCUGGUUUAGGCCGGCGAAGCUUUGGACUUAAGCGCCAGUAAACGGCGGUGGUAACUAUAACCAUCCUAAGGUAGCGAAAUUCCUUGUCGGGUAAGUUCCGACCUGCACGAAUGGCGUAACGACUUGGGCGCUGUCUCAACCAUGGACUCGGCGAAAUUGCAUUACGAGUAAAGAUGCUCGUUACGCGCAGCAGGACGGAAAGACCCCGGGACCUUUACUACAACUUGGUAUUGGUGGUCGGCACAACUUGUGUAGGAUAGGUGGGAGACUGUGAAAUCCGGACGCCAGUUCGGGUGGAGUCAUCGUUGAAAUACCACUCUGGUUGUUCUGGCUGUCUAACUUCGGUCCAUUAUCUGGAUCAGGGACAGUGCCUGGUGGGUAGUUUGACUGGGGCGGUCGCCUCCUAAAAGGUAACGGAGGCGCUCAAAGGUUCCCUCAGCCUGGUUGGCAAUCAGGUGUCGAGUGUAAGUGCACAAGGGAGCUUGACUGUGAGACAGACAUGUCGAGCAGGGACGAAAGUCGGAACUAGUGAUCCAGCGGUGGCAUGUGGGAGCACCGUCGCUCAACGGAUAAAAGGUACCCCGGGGAUAACAGGCUGAUCUUCCCCAAGAGUCCAUAUCGACGGGAUGGUUUGGCACCUCGAUGUCGGCUCGUCGCAUCCUGGGGCUGGAGUAGGUCCCAAGGGUUGGGCUGUUCGCCCAUUAAAGCGGCACGCGAGCUGGUUUAGAACGUCGUGAGACAGUUCGGUCCCUAUCCGCUGCGCGCGCAGGAGACUUGAGAAGGGCUGCCCCUAGUACGAGAGGACCGGGGUGGACGAACCUCUGGUGUGCCGGUUGUUCCGCCAGGAGCACGGCUGGUUGGCUACGUUCGGGAGUGAUAACCGCUGAAAGCAUCUAAGCGGGAAGCGCGCUUCAAGAUGAGGUCUCCCACCGAGUUAAUCGGGUAAGGCCCCCAGUAGACCACUGGGUUGAUAGGCCAGAGGUGGAAGCGCCGUAAGGUGUGGAGCUGACUGGUACUAAUAGGCCGAGGGCUUGUCCCA
Molecule: ribosomal RNA, 1239 nt
Filed under: metagenome
Description: bacterial LSU rRNA
Rfam family: Bacterial large subunit ribosomal RNA
Source: RNAcentral